GGUGGAGCUCAGUGGUAGAGUACUCACCUAACAUGCAUGAGGCCUGGGGUUCAAUUCCCAGCACCA
RNAcentral lists this transfer RNA (66 nucleotides) under Marmota monax (woodchuck). RNAcentral describes it as "tRNA.Val". The record is from RNAcentral. Lineage: Eukaryota; Metazoa; Chordata; Mammalia; Rodentia; Sciuridae.